GGGUACAGAAAAGCACUAUCAGAGCAGCGAAAGAAAAAAGCCUGUUACAUGGAAACCAAACUUGUUAAAUAAGACCAUGGCCUUCAGUAAUCAGCCUGGAUUUUUAACAUACUUCAAAAUGUUGAUUAUUAAUAACACAGCAUAAUAGCAUUAGUGUUGCACCUAAGACCAUGGCCUUUAGUAAUCAGCCUGGAGUUUUAACAUACUGCAACUUGUUGAUUACAAAAUAACACAGCAUAAUAGCAAUAGUGUUGACCUAUUGUCC
This 265-nucleotide unclassified non-coding RNA is filed under the name Hevea brasiliensis (rubber tree). Lineage: Eukaryota; Viridiplantae; Streptophyta; Magnoliopsida; Malpighiales; Euphorbiaceae. The record is from RNAcentral.